GCUGGCCUACGGGGCGCAGCGGUAGGGAAUUUUCGUCAAUGGGCGCAAGCCUGAACGAGCGAUGCCGCGUGAGCGAAGAAGGUCUUCGGGUCGUAAAGCUCUGUUGCGGGGGAAGAAAGGCAGCAUCAGGAAAUGGGUGCUGACUGAUGGUGCCCCGCCAGAAAGUCACGGCUAACUACGUGCCAGCAGCCGCGGUAAUACGUAGGUGGCGAGUGUUAUCCGGAAUGAUUGGGCGUAAAGGGUGCGCAGGCGGUCCUGCAAGUCUGG
RNAcentral lists this ribosomal RNA (267 nucleotides) under uncultured bacterium. RNAcentral's name for it is "partial 16S ribosomal RNA". It matches the Rfam family "Bacterial small subunit ribosomal RNA", at positions 333 to 592 of the family's 1533-position model. The record is from RNAcentral.